Long non-coding RNA from Suricata suricatta (meerkat), 3438 nucleotides. RefSeq lists it as uncharacterized. NCBI's taxonomy places the organism in Eukaryota, Metazoa, Chordata, Mammalia, Carnivora, Herpestidae. The record is from RefSeq and is a predicted model, not a curated record. The transcript is spliced from 4 exons.
AUCAGGACCGUUGGAAGGUUAUCCUCUGGAGAGGAAGUACCACUCUGAACAUUCAAGACCUCGCUUUUAGGCCCCGCUCAUUAUUCACCCACAAGUCACUUAACUUCCCAGACUUAAAAAAAAAGUCUAUAAAAUGGGAUUAGCCUGAAAUGCCUACGUCAAAUGAAGACAAAAUGAAAUUCAUGUGCAACCCUGAGAGUUGUAAAAUGCUCUAAAGAUUGAAGGUACCUGUUUUUUGUAUCUCCGGAAAUGUUAGAGGCGAGGUGCCAUUGCUUCUACCUACUAGACUUCUAUCCCACCCAACUUCCAGCUAGGAGACUCUUGAGUCAGAUCCACGUUCUUUAUCACUAGCUGGGCCUGAGCACCAGAUAGCUUAUCUGGUCUGCCCUGAUGUUCUGAGCUGGAAAACUGAGAAUCUCAAGAAACAGAAGAAACAGUCCAAAUUUCUACUCAGUUCCCAUGAGACCAGAGCAGAGGCAGGACCCAAGGAGAUUGCACCAUAGCUUUUAUCCCUUGGUUUCAUCCGACUCUUGUUUGAACCUCCCACUUUGUUGUUGCAGCUACUUUUUGAGAUGAAAGAAUAGGAAGAGAACUUUGACCCUCUCCACGAAGCCUGCAUUCCUUAGUCCAGGGUUGAGUUUUUGGGUUGACCUUAACCUACUUGUGGUUAGAAGCAGGGCCGUAUUCUUACAGGAUGUGUCCAGUAUCAUUCACCACGACUGUUAGUUCCAGAAGCCAGGCCAGUUGCACUGCAGAACCAUGGGCUCUUGUGGCUUUCUUUGGUGAGCAAACCUACUUCCUGUAGGGCUUCUUUCAAGUUCUGCCUCCUCUAGCGCCUUCUCUCACUGGUAAAUUCACUCCAAGGACUUCCUUCUUUGAACUCCAGUGGCAUUUAUAGGCUGUUUCCCAUAAUGUGAUGUGCAGAUUUUUUUUUUCUGAUUCAGUGUUUUCUCACUAUCUUCCUAUGUGGGUCGCAUCUGAACUCACGUAAAUUCUGUAAAGGCAGGGAUCAUGCUUGUUGUCCAGCAUUGUGUUGAGUGCCUUUCAGUCAGCACAGCACUUCCUUAUUUUCUUUUUGCUUAGCCCUUCCUUGAAAUAGUCCUUGGUGUUGAAUUGUGUGUUAGGAAGCCAGCUGGACCUAUGCCCUCAUUGAGGAGUUCUAUCUCUACUUUGUGGGAAGCCAUCUUAAUGCCUUGCCUCACAUGUUGCUUUGGGGGCUGUGCUGCCACACCAGUGUCACCUUGUGCCGAAGGUCUGAAUGUGAGCAAGAGCUCUCAGCAGAGGGAGCCAGCAGUUGAGCUCUCUCCCAACUGCCAGGACAGAUGGUUAUCCUGCCCAAGGGGCUCAUUCUCUGGGUAGUCCAGAGAAGAUGCCAGGAAGGCUGCAAGUGGGGAGGUCAGAGAGGCAGCAGGAGACCAAGAGAUAGUGGCCCUGCUAUCUUAUCACAGAAACCAAGGAAGGCAACAGUUGAAAACAAGUGGAGAUGCCUGGCGCCAAAUGGCUCAGGAGGGGUUUUCUGGGCUAACGACCAGAUGAGUUCAUGGGCUGUGGCAGCUGGCAGUGGUCUCCCCUGACAACCCCAUCUAGAGCGCCUCCACCCCAUCACUCUGCCACGCCUCCCUUUUACUCUCUGAGUAGCACUGUCAUUAGCUAAAAUCAUCUUGUUUAUUUCUAGCUCAUGUAUCUAAAGUAUCCUCCUUGAGAACAGCAACUUUGUCUUCUUCACCCUUGUAUUCUCAACUCCCAGCAUAGUGGCUGACACUCAGAAAUGUAGGGAUACGUGCACAGACGUGUCCAGAGUCCCCCGGCUAAUAAGUGGGACAUCUUUGGGGGCUUGGGGAGAACAGCAGGAAAUGUGCAUAUGUUUUGAAUACUGAUUUUAAAGAUUGUACAAUUUAAAAAUUAACGAGUUAAUCAUAGAAGAUUACCUUUUAGAAGGUAGAAGAAGGAAAGCACAUGAGAAUAAAAUCUGCAUAUAUGGCUGUUUACUUAUUUAGAGAUGAAUGAUAAUGUAAUAUCACAGAUGAAAACAUCUGGAGUUUCUACAAAUUGUAUAGAGACGGAAAUUUAGAACUUUAAAUGCUUUAACUAUUUAAGAAGAAAGAAUAAAAAAUGAAUUAAGCAUUUGACUCAAAUUAGAAAAAAGAACAAUAUAGACUAGGAGAGUCAUGAGGAAAGAAACAUGUACUAUAGCAAAAAUUAUUGAAUUUUAAAAUAGAAUAAAUUCAUGUCAUUUUUUUGAAAAAGCAGUAAAAUAGUAAAAAAGGAAAACAUUCAAAAUUAGAAAUGAACAAGGGUAUACAACAAAUGUGUAAGAUAGUACUAUGUGUAACCAGGUUCAUGAAUUCGCUACUUAGUGAAAUAGGUGAUUUUCUGAUAAAUUUGUAUGUGUGAAUGAAACCAAAAUUAUCUUAUCUUAAGCUAAAUGGAAGACCUGAAAGAUCAAUUAUCAGUGAAGAAAUGGAGAAAAGUGUACAAGUAUUAUCUCCAUAUGCUUCUAUGAAUGAGUUCUUUCAAACUUUCAAGGAACAGGCACUGAGAGUGGGAGAGAAUUCAUCCUCCAAAGAAAAAUCACGAUGCUAUUAAGAGUAGACGGAGGAGUGGAUGCUGGGCAAGCAAAGGCAACAGAUGUCUGCAGCAGGUGCCUGGGAGAAAAAGCGAGGUCCUACCUUCGCCACUGUGGGCAGUUUGACCUAAGCUGACUGUGCAAGCGAUGUGUGAACAUCCGGCCUCAGUGCUAAAUGCUUACCAAGAAACAGAGCCAACCCUGACACUGUGAAGGGAAACGAUGCCUCCUUUGGAUUCCUGAUCAGGACAAGAGAGACUACUGCCCUGUCCCCACCCAAGGAGGGAGACUCGGGAGAGGAGCUCAUGACGUGGGCACUAGCUCUCAGCUGCUUCGGCCAGUGAGGACUGACAGCACUCCGUCCCUGCUGGACAGCUCCCACUUUAUUGCUGCCUUGCAGGCCCCAUCAUCUAGUGAGGGCUUUUCCAGGAACCUGAAAGGCUCAGGGAAGUUUCCCAUGGGGCCUGGAGUUUAGACUUCACAAUAAGCACUCAGUUCAAUUGUCAAAACGUGUGAGGACUGUGGGAAUGCGUGAGCGGAGGGUACUUGCCACAGAGCUGAUGGCUGAUCGUGUGGGCAGUGAAACAGCUACCCAGGGAGAGAACAUGACUUAUGAGAAGAGCAAGAACCACAGGACUGUGGAAACUUCUACAAACUUGUGAGUCUCAUUAGGUGUGGUAAGACAGCUCCCUUGGUCUGUAAUUCCCCCAAUUUAGGGAUCAGAAGAGGAAAUCCAGGAAGGUAAGGGAAAUGAUAGGGGACAGUGAAGUUCCAGAGGGGACUGAAGGUGUCCUUGGAUGCCCAGGUUGACUCAACCCAGCAUUUAGUAGCUCGUGUGAGGAGCAGUGGGUAAGGAGGGCACAUGGGAUUUC